UACGUAGGGUGCGAGCGUUAAUCGGAAUUACUGGGCGUAAAGCGUGCGCAGGCGGUUUUGUAAGCCGGAUGUGAAAUCCCCGGGCUUAACCUGGGAAUGGCAUUCGGGACUGCAAGGCUGGAGUGCGGCAGAGGAGACUGGAAUUCCUGGUGUAGCAGUGAAAUGCGUAGAUAUCUGGAGGAACACCGGUGGCGAAGGCGGCAUCCUGGACCAACACUGACGCUGAGUGAGCGAAAGCCAGGGGAGCAAACGGG
This 254-nucleotide ribosomal RNA is filed under the name uncultured bacterium. RNAcentral describes it as "partial 16S ribosomal RNA". It matches the Rfam family "Bacterial small subunit ribosomal RNA", at positions 524 to 776 of the family's 1533-position model. The record is from RNAcentral.